UGCUGACGAGUGGCGAACGGGUGAGUAAUGCAUCGGAACGUGCCCAGUAGUGGGGGAUAGCCCGGCGAAAGCCGGAUUAAUACCGCAUACGACCUACGGGUGAAAGCGGGGGACCGCAAGGCCUCGCGCUAUUGGAGCGGCCGAUGUCAGAUUAGGUAGUUGGUGGGGUAAAGGCCUACCAAGCCUGCGAUCUGUAGCUGGUCUGAGAGGACGACCAGCCACACUGGGACUGAGACACGGCCCAGACUCCUACGGGAGGCAGCAGUGGGGAAUUUUGGACAAUGGGCGCAAGCCUGAUCCAGCCAUGCCGCGUGCGGGAAGAAGGCCUUCGGGUUGUAAACCGCUUUUGUCAGGGAAGAAAUCUUCUGGGUUAAUACCUCGGGAGGAUGACGGUACCUGAAGAAUAAGCACCGGCUAACUACGUGCCAGCAGCCGCGGUAAUACGUAGGGUGCAAGCGUUAAUCGGAAUUACUGGGCGUAAAGCGUGCGCAGGCGGUUAUGUAAGACAGAUGUGAAAUCCCCGGGCUUAACCUGGGAACUGCAUUUGUGACUGCAUAGCUUGAGUGCGGCAGAGGGGGAUGGAAUUCCGCGUGUAGCAGU
RNAcentral lists this ribosomal RNA (600 nucleotides) under Rubrivivax sp. M2(w). RNAcentral describes it as "bacterial SSU rRNA". It matches the Rfam family "Bacterial small subunit ribosomal RNA", at positions 86 to 682 of the family's 1533-position model. Lineage: Bacteria; Pseudomonadati; Pseudomonadota; Betaproteobacteria; Burkholderiales; Sphaerotilaceae. The record is from RNAcentral.